UGCAUUUCAUCGUGCAUCACCGGAUCCCAUCAGAACUCCGCAGUUAAACGUGCUUGGGCGAGAGUAGUACUAGGAUGGGUGACCUCCUGGGAAGUCCUCGUGUUGCAC
Molecule: ribosomal RNA, 108 nt
Filed under: Salix viminalis (osier)
Lineage: Eukaryota; Viridiplantae; Streptophyta; Magnoliopsida; Malpighiales; Salicaceae
Source: RNAcentral